AAGAAAUUAAGCAUUUGCAUGGUAAUCGAGUGACUUUUAAGGUUAGCUUCCUGUUAUUUUGUAGAUAUUUCUUGGCUGUGAAUUUUUCUUUUUCAUUUUUAAAAUUUUAUGACUAUUAGGUAUCAUUUGGUGAUUAUUUUAUUUUUUGGUUUCUUUUGUGUGCAUUAUGACUGGUAAAGAAAUAGAGGAGUUCACAAAGAGAACUACACGCAGUUGGUUUCUUC
This 224-nucleotide long non-coding RNA is filed under the name Coffea arabica (coffee). Its description in RNAcentral is "long non-coding RNA (CARA_LNC004767)". The record is from RNAcentral. Lineage: Eukaryota; Viridiplantae; Streptophyta; Magnoliopsida; Gentianales; Rubiaceae.